GCCCCUAUGGUGUAAGUUGGUAGCACUCUUGGCUUUUACCCUUGAAACGUCGGUUCGAACCCGGCUGGGGGCACCA
RNAcentral lists this transfer RNA (76 nucleotides) under Mycobacteroides chelonae. RNAcentral's name for it is "tRNA-Lys". It matches the Rfam family "tRNA". Rfam says of the family: Transfer RNA (tRNA) molecules are approximately 80 nucleotides in length. Their secondary structure includes four short double-helical elements and three loops (D, anti-codon, and T loops). Further hydrogen bonds mediate the characteristic L-shaped molecular structure. tRNAs have two regions of fundamental functional importance: the anti-codon, which is responsible for specific mRNA codon recognition, and the 3' end, to which the tRNAs corresponding amino acid is attached (by aminoacyl-tRNA synthetases). tRNAs cope with the degeneracy of the genetic code in two manners: having more than one tRNA (with a specific anti-codon) for a particular amino acid; and 'wobble' base-pairing, i.e. permitting non-standard base-pairing at the 3rd anti-codon position. Lineage: Bacteria; Bacillati; Actinomycetota; Actinomycetes; Mycobacteriales; Mycobacteriaceae. The record is from RNAcentral. RNAcentral also lists the same sequence under 3 other names.